UACGUAGGGGGCAAGCGUUGUCCGGAAUCAUUGGGCGUAAAGAGCGUGUAGGCGGCCUGGUAAGUCCGCUGUGAAAGUCCAGGGCUCAACCCUGGAAUGCCGGUGGAAACUGUCAGGCUCGAGUCCGGAAGAGGCGAGUGGAAUUCCUGGUGUAGCGGUGAAAUGCGCAGAUAUCAGGAAGAACACCCGUGGCGAAGGCGGUUCUCUGGGACGGUACUGACGCUGAGACGCGAAAGCGUGGGGAGCGAACAGG
RNAcentral lists this ribosomal RNA (253 nucleotides) under uncultured bacterium. RNAcentral's name for it is "partial 16S ribosomal RNA". It matches the Rfam family "Bacterial small subunit ribosomal RNA", at positions 524 to 776 of the family's 1533-position model. The record is from RNAcentral.